GUCCGUCAUGACCCUCUAGAGAAGAGUUUUCCCCUUCGGGGGACAGAGUGACAGGUGGUGCAUGGUUGUCGUCAGCUCGUGUCGUGAGAUGUUGGGUUAAGUCCCGCAACGAGCGCAACCCUUAAGCUUAGUUGCCAUCAUUAAGUUGGGCACUCUAAGUUGACUGCCGGUGACAAACCGGAGGAAGGUGGGGAUGACGUCAAAUCAUCAUGCCCCUUAUGAUUUGGGCUACACACGUGCUACAAUGGACAAUACAAAGGGCAGCGAAACCGCGAGGUCAAGCAAAUCCCAUAAAGUUGUUCUCAGUUCGGAUUGUAGUCUGCAACUCGACUAUAUGAAGCUGGAAUCGCUAGUAAUCGUAGAUCAGCAUGCUACGGUGAAUACGUUCCCGGGUCUUGUAACACACCGA
RNAcentral lists this ribosomal RNA (409 nucleotides) under Staphylococcus sp. ZYQ-2015-7. RNAcentral's name for it is "bacterial SSU rRNA". It matches the Rfam family "Bacterial small subunit ribosomal RNA", at positions 986 to 1393 of the family's 1533-position model. The record is from RNAcentral. Lineage: Bacteria; Bacillati; Bacillota; Bacilli; Caryophanales; Staphylococcaceae.